CAUGAACUACGAAGGCCAGUUAAUAUGUAAGGACACCAAUGAACAGACACUUUCCAAUUAUCGUACAUCAUAUACAUGGGUGGUCAAACUCACUGGAUGGUUUAUCAACACUCCCAUGCUCAUGAACAGCCUUGCCCCAGGAAUUUUGCCCUGAAGUAACAUUGCAGUCUAUUGUCUCCUUUCUUUUUACAACCCUGGCAGCCAUGCAGGAUAGAAGCUGAUAACUUGUACUUGACAGCAAAUAGUAAU
This is a long non-coding RNA of Saccostrea cuccullata (small rock oyster), 249 nucleotides long. RefSeq lists it as uncharacterized. The transcript is spliced from 3 exons. The record is from RefSeq and is a predicted model, not a curated record. Lineage: Eukaryota; Metazoa; Mollusca; Bivalvia; Ostreida; Ostreidae.